GGAGAGAUAGUUUAAGGUUUAAGAUGAGUAUUUGAAAAGUAUUAGAUACGUGCUAUUUUGUGUGUUUUCUCCA
RNAcentral lists this transfer RNA (73 nucleotides) under Rhodosoma turcicum. RNAcentral's name for it is "transfer RNA-Phe". The record is from RNAcentral. Lineage: Eukaryota; Metazoa; Chordata; Ascidiacea; Phlebobranchia; Corellidae.